GAUGAAGAACGUAGCGAAAUGCGAUACGUAAUGUGAAUUGCAGAAUUCAGUGAAUCAUCGAAUCUUUGAACGCACAUUGCGCCCGCUGGUAUUCCGGCGGGCAUGCCUGUUCGAGCGUCAUUUCAACCCUCAAGCCCCCGGGUUUGGUGUUGGGGAUCGGCUCUGCCCUUCUGGGCGGUGCCGCCCCCGAAAUACAUUGGCGGUCUCGCUGCAGCCUCCAUUGCGUAGUAGCUAACACCUCGCAACUGGAACGCGGCGCGGCCAUGCCGUUAAACCCCAACUUCUGAAUGUUGACCUCGGAUCAGGUAGGAAUACCCGCUGAACUUAAGCAUAUCAAUAAGCGGAGGA
RNAcentral lists this unclassified non-coding RNA (348 nucleotides) under soil metagenome. RNAcentral describes it as "partial contains 5.8S ribosomal RNA, internal transcribed spacer 2, and large subunit ribosomal RNA". The stretch from base 1 to 120 matches the Rfam family "5.8S ribosomal RNA", at positions 35 to 154 of the family's 154-position model. The record is from RNAcentral.